CUCUCCCUCGGCCCUCCCCAGCUUGUGCCACGUGCAUACACACUCUCCAAAAAAAAAAGGAAAAAGAAAAAAAUAGAUCUAAUAAACACUUUUCAACUUUUAACUUGUUCUUUGAGGUGCUGUAAUUGUAAUUCAUCAUUUGUUUUCAUGUUUUUUGCUUCAUUGGACCUCUUUUUUUUUUUUUUUUUUUUUUAGGUUUAUUUGUUUAUUUUGAGAGAGAGUGAGCAGGGGAAGGAUGGGGGGUGGGUAAGGGGGGAGACUCCCAAGAAGUCUCCGUACUGUCAACACAGCCCCCCACACAGAGCCCAAACACGAACCAUGAGAACCAUGAGACCGUGACCUGAGCCGAAACCAAGAGUCAGCCACUUAACCAACUGAGCCACCCAGGCACCCUAUAACCUCUUUAGAUAUGGGGUCAGGUUCCUCAGUUGAAGGAUUUUAUUCAAUUAUUCUUAAAGGCAUUUUAAUGCCAACACACCUACCAGAUAUUAUGCCAUUUAAGUCAGCCCUGUACUUGCUUCAAGAAGCCCAAGUUCUAAUCUUUCCCAUUGUUCAAGUUAUAAUGGUCAUAGCCAUUUUUGAGUAUCAGCUAAAUUAUAAGACCUACUUUGAAGCACGGUGUAUCCAGUAUACCUAUAUUAAAAUAAUAUAAAAAGGGGCAUAAGUAAAAGUUACUGAUUGCUUCCAAGAUGUCUUGGCUCCAAAAUGAAAAUCCAAUGGUGUUAGAGGGCCACCUCAAUCUCUCUGUGGCAAAAGCAUUGCUAAUAUCACCCCAUUUAAUGUGCUAUAAAUCUUAAGUCUUUUUAGGGCAAAAAUGAGAACUCUGACACUAUGUUAGACACUGUUUCUCAAUGAGUCUUUGUAAUUAGAUUAUCAAGGUGGGGAGGUAUGAUAGAUGCAUGAAAUUUUUUAUAACAAUUACAACACACAGUUAGAAAAGCUGCCAGUUCUGAACCGUGUGUGGUGUAGCAGCGAAGGAUUGGAGUGCACUGUUCCGAUUAAGAUUGCUUUAAAGCAGUGAUCUCAACGUGUGGUCUGAGAACAUCUGGAGGUCCCCAGAAAUCCUUUCAAGGAGUAAACAAGGUCAAAAUUAUCUUCAUGAUAAUAUUUAGAUGUGAUUUGCCUUUUUCACUCUUAUUCUCACGAAUGUACAGUGGAAUUUUCCAAAAGCUGCAUGACAUAAUGGAUUGAAUGCAGAAGCAGAUAAGAGAGUGCAGCUAUUUUCUAUCAACCAGAGAUUUGCAAAAAUAUUAACCAAUGCCAUUAUUCUUAUUGACUUAUUCUGAAAAAGUUAUUUUUCAUUAAAAAGAUAUUAUCUAUGUUAACAAGUAAUGGCUUUAUUGUUGUUACUUUUAAAUUAAUGGAUAAAUAUUUUUUAAGCUUUUCAAGUUUUAAUUUCUGAUAUGGUAAGUAUUGAUAGCUAUAGCCCACAUUAACAAAAAUUCUUCAGGUUCCUCAAUAAACGUUAAGAGUAUAAAGAGGUCUGGAGACCCAACAAGUGUGAGAACUGCUUCUCUGUGGUAUUAAAAGUCAG
Long non-coding RNA from Herpailurus yagouaroundi (jaguarundi), 1534 nucleotides. RefSeq lists it as uncharacterized. The transcript has 2 exons. Lineage: Eukaryota; Metazoa; Chordata; Mammalia; Carnivora; Felidae. The record is from RefSeq and is a predicted model, not a curated record.